This 253-nucleotide ribosomal RNA is filed under the name uncultured bacterium. RNAcentral describes it as "partial 16S ribosomal RNA". It matches the Rfam family "Bacterial small subunit ribosomal RNA", at positions 524 to 776 of the family's 1533-position model. The record is from RNAcentral.
GACAGAGGUGCCGAGCGUUAGGCGGAAUCACUGGGCUUAAAGCGUGUGUAGGCGGGCGGGCAAGUACCUUGUGAAAUCCCACGGCUCAACCGUGGAACGGCUGGGUAUACUGCCUGUCUUGAGCCAACUAGGGGCGAGCGGAACAGACGGUGGAGCGGUGAAAUGCGUAGAUAUCGUCUGGAACGCCGAAGGUGAAAACAGCUCGCUGGGGCUGUGCUGACGCUGAGACACGAAAGCCAGGGGAGCGAACGGG